GGGCAUUUGGUUUAGUGGUAUGAUUCUCGCUUUGGGCGCGAGGGUCCCGAGUUUGAUUCUCGGAAUGCCCC
Molecule: transfer RNA, 71 nt
Filed under: Datura stramonium (jimsonweed)
Lineage: Eukaryota; Viridiplantae; Streptophyta; Magnoliopsida; Solanales; Solanaceae
Description: tRNA-Pro
Rfam family: tRNA
About the family: Transfer RNA (tRNA) molecules are approximately 80 nucleotides in length.
Source: RNAcentral